CACGUGGUUAGCCGGUGCUUCUUUACCCAUUACCGUCACUCACGCUUCGUCACAGGCGAAAGCGGUUUACAACCCGAAGGCCGUCAUCCCGCACGCGGCGUUGCUGCAUCAGGCUUCCGCCCAUUGUGCAAUAUUCCCCACUGCUGCCUCCCGUAGGAGUCUGGGCCGUAUCUCAGUCCCAAUGUGGCCGGUCACCCUCUCAGGCCGGCUACCCGUCAAAGCCUUGGUAAGCCACUACCCCACCAACAAGCUGAUAAGCCGCGAGUCCAUCCCCAACCGCCGAAACUUUCCAACCCCCACCAUGCAGCAGGAGCUCCUAUCCGGUAUUAGCCCCAGUUUCCUGAAGUUAUCCCAAAGUCAAGGGCAGGUUACUCACGUGUUACUCACCCGUUCGCCACUCGAGCACCCCACAAAAGCAGGGCCUUUCCGUUCGACUUGCAUGUGUUAAGCACGCCGCCAGCGUUCGUCCUGAGCCAGGAUCAAACUCU
RNAcentral lists this ribosomal RNA (488 nucleotides) under uncultured Propionibacterium sp. RNAcentral's name for it is "partial 16S ribosomal RNA". Lineage: Bacteria; Bacillati; Actinomycetota; Actinomycetes; Propionibacteriales; Propionibacteriaceae. The record is from RNAcentral.